GUCAGGAUUGCCGAGCGGUGUAAGACGCCAGACUCAAGGAUAAAAACCUCACUUCUCCAAGAGAAGCAUCGGAAUUCUUGUCUUCAAUGCAGGCGUGGGUUCAAAUCCCACUCCUGACA
RNAcentral lists this transfer RNA (119 nucleotides) under Daphnia magna. It matches the Rfam family "tRNA". From Rfam's summary of the family: Transfer RNA (tRNA) molecules are approximately 80 nucleotides in length. Their secondary structure includes four short double-helical elements and three loops (D, anti-codon, and T loops). Lineage: Eukaryota; Metazoa; Arthropoda; Branchiopoda; Diplostraca; Daphniidae. The record is from Rfam by way of RNAcentral.